GAUGAACGCUGGCGGCGUGCCUAAUACAUGCAAGUCGAGCGAACAGACGAGGAGCUUGCUCCUCUGACGUUAGCGGCGGACGGGAGAGUCACACGUGUAUAACCUACCUAUAAUACUGGGAUAUCUUCGAGAAACCGGCGCUAAUACCGGAUAAUAUAUUGAACCGCAUGGUUGAAUAGAGAAUGACGGUUUUGCUGUCACUUCUAGCUGCUUCUGCGCCGCAUUAGCUGGUAGGUAAGGUAACAGCUUACCAAGGCGACGAUGCGUAGACGACGUGUGAGGGUGAUCGGCGACAUGGGAGCGGGGACAGGGUCAAGACGACUACGGGAGGCAGCAGUAGGGAAUGUGACGCAGUGGGCGAAAGCCUGACGGAGCAAGGCGGAGUGAGUGAUGAAGGCCUCCGGAGCGUAAAACUCUGUUAUGAGGGAAGAACAAAUGUGUAAGGAGCUAUGCCCGUCUUGACGGUACCUAAUCAGAAAGCCACGGCUAACUACGUG
Molecule: ribosomal RNA, 497 nt
Filed under: uncultured bacterium
Lineage: Bacteria
Description: partial 16S ribosomal RNA
Rfam family: Bacterial small subunit ribosomal RNA
Source: RNAcentral